CCCCAGACUCCUACGGGAGGCAGCAGUGGGGAAUAUUGCACAAUGGGGGAAACCCUGAUGCAGCGACGCCGCGUGAGUGAAGAAGUAAUUCGUUAUGUAAAGCUCUAUCAGCAGGGAAGAAAAUGACGGUACCUGACUAAGAAGCCCCGGCUAACUACGUGCCAGCAGCCGCGGUAAUACGUAGGGGGCAAGCGUUAUCCGGAUUUACUGGGUGUAAAGGGAGCGUAGGCGGCGAUGCAAGUCAGAAGUGAAGGCCCGGGGCUCAACUCCGGGACUGCUUUUGAAGCUGUGUUGCUAGAUUGCAGGAGAGGUAAGUGGAAUUCCUAGUGUAGCGGUGAAAUGCGUAGAUAUUAGGAGGAACACCAGUGGCGAAGGCGGCUUACUGGACUGUAAAUGACGCUGAGGCUCGAAAGCGUGGGGAGCAAACAGGAUUAGAUACCCCAGUA
Molecule: ribosomal RNA, 446 nt
Filed under: uncultured bacterium
Lineage: Bacteria
Description: bacterial SSU rRNA
Rfam family: Bacterial small subunit ribosomal RNA
Source: RNAcentral